This 1049-nucleotide long non-coding RNA is filed under the name Polistes fuscatus (common paper wasp). RNAcentral describes it as "uncharacterized LOC122515849". The record is from RNAcentral. Lineage: Eukaryota; Metazoa; Arthropoda; Insecta; Hymenoptera; Vespidae.
AAAUUAUAAUUUAAUCAUUAAGGAAUCUUUACGUAAAACAUACGAACUUUCUUUACAUACAGCUGAUAAUUUAAAAACAUUUAGAUUGUAAAGUACUGCUUUUAUAUACGGUAACUGUUGAAUAACAGUCAACGUGUUAACUAAUAUUUUGGUAUUAGAUUUUACUGGAUCAAUCAAUUCUAGUGCAUCUUUAAAUCAACUCUAUGAUGCAUUUAUUUUUUAUACAUGUUCACACAUGUAUAUGUGGUACUUGAUUACAUUGUUACCAGUCAAAUAAUAUUAUCCAAAAUAUGUAAUGUAUUUGUUAUUUUCACAAGUGGACAUUAUCCAAACAUAAUAAUUUUGCUUCAAUUAAUGAAACCAAUGAUGCAUACAAAAAAAACUAACGGAUAAGAUAUAAGAAGAAAAUUAAUAAAAAAUAUUAUGAACAAAAGACUACAUUUGUAAGUAUUGAAAAAUGCAUGAUUCCAUUUUUAAAAAAUUAUCACAAACUUUGCAUCUUCUACAUACUACCAUAUAAUAAAAAAUCAAACAUCUUGUACAUCAAACAUUUCUUCAUAUCAUCAAAAUUGUAAAAAUUAUAUAGGUGGCCAAUUUGAAAUGAAUAAUUGGAACUAACUAAAUUUUUAAGACUGCAGGAGCAUGGUCAGAUUAUCUCUGUUAUUAAUUACUUCUUAAUUAUUUCUGUUAUUUCAUAUUAUUAUUUUACAAGUAUUGCAGAGGAAAUAGAAAGUAAAAAGCAAAAGAAGAAGAAGAAGAAGAAUUAGAAGAGGAAGAGGAAGAGGAAGAAGAAGAAGAAAUGAGAAGUUUCCUAAAUAGAAUUAAAAUAGCAUUAUUAUCAAUGUUCAAGAUUUUUCCAUAAACAUGUCUCUUUAUUAUCAUACAUGAGAAAACACGGGUGAUUUUCGAUGAGGUCGGUGGUGGGUGCGAUAUUUAAAGGGUGUUGUACAUACACGCUAAACACACUUACACGAGUUACAUCGUUGUUGUGUCGUCGUUCUUGUCCUUCUUGUAAGAAAAGUAAAAAAGGGCUUUUGUGCUCUUCUUUU